UGGGGAAUUUUGGACAAUGGGGGAAACCCUGAUCCAGCCAUCCCGCGUGUGCGAUGAAGGCCUUCGGGUUGUAAAGCACUUUUGGCAGGAAAGAAACGUCAUGGGUUAAUACCCCGUGAAACUGACGGUACCUGCAGAAUAAGCACCGGCUAACUACGUGCCAGCAGCCGCGGUAAUACGUAGGGUGCAAGCGUUAAUCGGAAUUACUGGGCGUAAAGCGUGCGCAGGCGGUUCGGAAAGAAAGAUGUGAAAUCCCAGAGCUCAACUUUGGAACUGCAUUUUUAACUACCGGGCUAGAGUGUGUCAGAGGGAGGUGGAAUUCCGAGUGUAGCAGUGAAAUGCGUAGAUAUGCGGGGGAACACCGAUGGCGAAGGCAGCCGCCUGGGAUAACACUGACGCUCAUGCACGAAAGCGUGGGGAGCAAACAGG
Molecule: ribosomal RNA, 429 nt
Filed under: Acidobacteriota bacterium
Lineage: Bacteria; Pseudomonadati; Acidobacteriota
Description: Acidobacteria bacterium partial 16S ribosomal RNA
Rfam family: Bacterial small subunit ribosomal RNA
Source: RNAcentral